RNAcentral lists this ribosomal RNA (253 nucleotides) under uncultured prokaryote. Its description in RNAcentral is "partial 16S ribosomal RNA". It matches the Rfam family "Bacterial small subunit ribosomal RNA", at positions 524 to 776 of the family's 1533-position model. The record is from RNAcentral.
GACGAAGGAUGCAAGCGUUAUCCGGAUUCAUUGGGUUUGAAGGGAGCGUAGGUGGACUUGUAAGUCAGUGGUGAAAUCUCUUCGCUUAACGAAGAAACUGCCAUUGAUACUGCAGGUCUUGAGUACAGAUGAUGUGGGCGGAAUAUGACAUGUAGUGGUGAAAUACUUAGAUAUGUCAUAGAACACCGAUUGCGAAGGCAGCUCACAAAACUGUAACUGACACUGAGGCUCGAAAGUGCGGGGAUCAAACAGG